This 911-nucleotide ribosomal RNA is filed under the name uncultured Bacteroidota bacterium. RNAcentral describes it as "bacterial SSU rRNA". It matches the Rfam family "Bacterial small subunit ribosomal RNA", at positions 8 to 918 of the family's 1533-position model. Lineage: Bacteria; Pseudomonadati; Bacteroidota. The record is from RNAcentral.
AGAGUUUGAUUAUGGCUCAGGAUGAACGCUAGCGGCAGGCUUAAUACAUGCAAGACGAACGGUAACUGGUGUAGCAAUACACUAGCUAGAGUGUCGUACGGGUGCGUAACACGUAUGCAACCUACCUUGUACAGGAGUAUAGCUCGGGGAAACUCGAAUUAACCCUCCAUAACAUAACGGUGUGGCAUCACACUGCUAUUAAAACUGAGGUGGUACAAGAUGGGCAUGCGACUGAUUAGUUAGUUGGCAGUGUAACGGACUACCAAGACGAUGAUCAGUAGGGGACCUGAGAGGGUGAUCCCCCACACUGGCACUGAGAUACGGGCCAGACUCCUACGGGAGGCAGCAGUAGGGAAUAUUGGACAAUGGGUGCGAGCCUGAUCCAGCCAUGCCGCGUGCAGGAAGAAGGCGUUAUGCGUUGUAAACUGCUUUUGCCAGGGGAUAAAAAGACCGUGCGCGGUUAAUUGAAGGUACCUGGUGAAUAAGCCACGGCUAACUACGUGCCAGCAGCCGCGGUAAUGCGUAGGUGGCAAGCGUUGUCCGGAUUUAUUGGGUUUAAAGGGUGCGUAGGUGGCUAACUAAGUCAGUGGUGAAAUAUCUCAGCUUAACUGAGAGGGUGCCAUUGAUACUGGCUAGCUUGAGUACAGAUGAGGUAGGCGGAAUUGACGGUGUAGCGGUGAAAUGCAUAGAUAUCGUCAAGAACACCGAUAGCGAAGGCAGCUUACCAAGCUGUAACUGACACUGAGGCACGAAAGUGUGGGGAUCAAACAGGAUUAGAUACCCUGGUAGUCCACACUGUAAACGUUGAUGACUCGAUGUUGGCGAUACACAGCCAGCGUCCAAGAGCAAUCGUUAAGUCAUCCACCUGGGGAGUACGCCGGCAACGGUGAAACUCAAAUGAAUUGACGGGG